Hippopotamus amphibius kiboko is the source of this 267-nucleotide long non-coding RNA. RefSeq lists it as uncharacterized. Lineage: Eukaryota; Metazoa; Chordata; Mammalia; Artiodactyla; Hippopotamidae. The transcript is spliced from 3 exons. The record is from RefSeq and is a predicted model, not a curated record.
AGUCAGCCCAUUUCCUGGCUGGUUGCAGGGAACUCUUCUCUGCUGUCCGUUGGCGAUGUGAUCUCUAGGAUGUCCUUUACACUGUCUGGAACUCGGUUUUAUUAUCUAAAAGGAAACUGAAACACAGUGGAACUUGCCCAAGGAGCAGUGGGAAGGGAUGCGGAGUCAGAGCCCAUCAUGUCGUCAGAAAUAAUACUUCGUUGGGGCAGCUGCUGGAGAAAUUCAAAUCCAAAGGAGGCCUAGGGAAUCCUGGGAUAACCAUCACAG